Molecule: small RNA, 172 nt
Filed under: Arabidopsis thaliana (thale cress)
Lineage: Eukaryota; Viridiplantae; Streptophyta; Magnoliopsida; Brassicales; Brassicaceae
Description: ATSL208060
Source: RNAcentral
UGAAUUCUUCAAAAACAAAACAGUUGUAUUUGUUGGAUCGUCUUUCUUAAAUGCGAUUGAUGAGUCAUGCAUGGAGUUUUUGGAUGAUAAAGAGGGAUUUCAGUUUCCAUCUGAAGAAAUCUGUAAGCUGAUAAUAGAGGAAGAAACCAAGUGCAUAUUGGCUCCUUUCUAU